UAGUCCACGCCGUAAACGAUGGUUACUAGCUGUUUGGUUUUCGGACUGAGUGGCUAAGCGAAAGUGAUAAGUAACCCACCUGGGGAGUACGAUCGCAAGAUUGAAACUCAAAGGAAUUGACGGGGGCCCGCACAAGCGGUGGAGCAUGUGGUUUAAUUCGAUGAUACGCGAGGAACCUUACCAGGGCUUAAAUGUAGGAUGCAUUAGUUAGAGAUAGCUAUUUCUUCGGACUUCUUACAAGGUGCUGCAUGGUUGUCGCCAGCUCGUGCCGUGAGGUGUCAGGUUAAGUCCUAUAACGAGCGCAACCCCUGUUGUUAGUUACCAGCACGUAAUGGUGGGGACUCUAACAAGACUGCCGGUGCAAACCGUGAGGAAGGUGGGGAUGACGUCAAAUCAUCACGGGCCCUUACGUCCUGGGGCUACACACGUGCUACAAUGGUAGGUACAGAGAGCAGCCACGUCGCAAGGCGGAGCGAAUCUACAAAACCUAUCUCAGUUCGGGAUCGGGAGU
RNAcentral lists this ribosomal RNA (511 nucleotides) under uncultured bacterium. RNAcentral describes it as "bacterial SSU rRNA". It matches the Rfam family "Bacterial small subunit ribosomal RNA", at positions 791 to 1306 of the family's 1533-position model. The record is from RNAcentral.